This 252-nucleotide ribosomal RNA is filed under the name uncultured microorganism. RNAcentral describes it as "partial 16S ribosomal RNA". It matches the Rfam family "Bacterial small subunit ribosomal RNA", at positions 524 to 776 of the family's 1533-position model. The record is from RNAcentral.
UACGUAGGUCCCGAGCGUUGUCCGGAUUUAUUGGGCGUAAAGCGAGCGCAGGUGGUUUAUUAAGUCUGGUGUAAAAGGCAGUGGCUCAACCAUUGUGUGCAUUGGAAACUGUUAGACUUGAGUGCAGUAGAGGAGAGUGGAAUUCCAUGUGUAGCGGUGAAAUGCGUAGAUAUAUGGAGGAACACCGGUGGCGAAAGCGGCUCUCUGGACUGUCACUGACACUGAGGCUCGAAAGCGUGGGGAGCAAACAGG